Molecule: ribosomal RNA, 338 nt
Filed under: uncultured Glomus
Lineage: Eukaryota; Fungi; Glomeromycota; Glomeromycetes; Glomerales; Glomeraceae
Description: eukaryotic LSU rRNA
Source: RNAcentral
CAGUCAUACCGAUGAGCAUUCAGCCUUUUGGGUGCGAUUACGUGGUACAUGGAAAGAUUUCACGGUUGCAUUUUCGUGCCUUUUGGGUGUACUUGUUCGUAUGGUAGGUUAACAUCAAUUUCGGUUAUCAUAACAUGGCGGGAGGAAUGUGGCUUCUCCGGAAGUGUUAUAGCCUCUGGUAGAUGUGAUGACUGAGAUUGAGGAUUGCAACGAAUACCCUUCCGGGCUACCUGUCUGGCCUCUGGUCGUCGCUUUGGUGCCGAAAGCGUGCUUAAUAGUAUCAAAGUAGGUGGUCAAAAGGUUAAACGGGGAUAAAUCCUUUAAGGUGUUGACGUAAU